This is a non-coding RNA of Aegilops tauschii subsp. strangulata, 3855 nucleotides long. The record is from RefSeq and is a predicted model, not a curated record. Lineage: Eukaryota; Viridiplantae; Streptophyta; Magnoliopsida; Poales; Poaceae.
CUCUACGUGGACGCGGCUGUUCUGCUCGCGAGCACAGGUGAGCACUUUAUCGAGACCAGUCGAUACCGCAUUGGGAUUGUGUCGUUGAAUUACUGAGCCAGCGCGUCGAGCAGUGUUAAAUCGCGAGGGGAGGGAAUACAGUAUACUGCCGCCUCGUACACCGCGUCGGGACGGAGCCCGCGGAUGGCGCCGUGACGGGAUUUCCCCUCGCCGUGGCUCGGGGCGUCAGCGGAUUCCCUGAUCCUUUGCUCAGGAAAUCGAAUCUCCGUCAGUCGGCGCUGGGCAGGCCAGUAAAUGGCUACUAUGACAAACAGCGCCGCUGUCUCCCACCUCUCGCCAAUCUUUCUUGUGUCCGCCAUUGACGCCGUCCGAGAUCUGCGGAAGGAGUUCACGGCGGCGAGUUUCGUGGAUGGAGUUCCUGAUGCAACCAAUUAGGAGGUCCGCGGUGAUGGAGGAGGUGAAUGACAACCAGCUGCCAAUGGAGCCGGUGCACUACCCAGCGGUUGCGACAGCAACGGAGGAGCUGUCCCCCAUGGCCGCUGUAAGCGUUGACGGGCAGAUCUGUGCGGCGGAUGGGGCCGUUGCGGCGGAGGGGAAUGAUGAACCGCAGGCGUCUGAGCAAUCUAUUGGCUAGGUUGAUCCAAAAACACCAGGCUGGAAUCGCAGCCUUAGGAUUGGUGCUGCCGCACCGAGCAGAACACCAUGCCCAAAUCGAAUCAGUGCGUUUGAGAAGGCAGUCAGGUGUUGCGGAGAGAACCCAGCUGAAAACGUGAUCACACCGGUUCUCGGUACUAGUUUCGACUCUUUGGGCGAAACAUACGACUUGUGUGUACAUGUAGGUGGAUAUCAUCCGGAAAGCACGGUAAAACUGGUGCGUCGUCCUUGUGUACCAUUUGAGAUGAUGUUAUGUCGUACUUCAGCAAGUCAGCAGAUAACUGCUUCUGUAUUGACACCGUGUGCAAGAAUCGGACAACACCAGAGUCUGCUUGACAUAAAAGUCAUAAGUUAGUGCAGAUAAAAGCGCGUCAAAUGAAAUCAACAACUGUCAUAAGCUUAGUUGGGAGCUUGAAACUAGAGAGUGAAGGUCUUACUGAGAAUUCAGGUUCAAUAGGGUGCCUCCAGCUUAAAUAAGGGUUUUCGGUUUCUGCUUCAUCAUGUCAAGUUGGACGUGGCCUCGUGCAGUUGCGAGGUGCGAGAGGCAACGAGCAUUUAUUUCCUUCAAGAGGACUGUGAUCUCAUUUUUUUAAUUUACGUCUUCAAUAUCUGCCGUUUUUAGUUAUUCUCUUCAUUUUUGGUAUGACCAUAGUUAGUCUCUUUCAGAUAUUUUAGGCUCUAAUUAUUCGUUUUUAUUUAUUUAGUUACCCAUUUCUGUUAGUGUUCAGUUUUUAUGUUCAUUGCUCUAUCUGCAAUUUACAUGAGCGAACUUUCUCAGUCCUCACUCUUUAUUCGUUAGUCCAUGUUCGGUCCCUCAUUUUUUCCUUUUUCUUUUUUAGCAGUUUAUGUUGCAUGCUCAUCGGUGAGCCUGUCAACAUCAGAGGGAGAGGGGAGAAGUUGAGCGGUACUCUUGGUUCAGAUGUUUUCCUUAGCAAUCGUUUGACGCAGAGCGUUCUGUCUUUGAUUUUAAGGACGUUGCAACCUAACAUGCAUGAUUCGGAAAGGGAUAACAUAAUGGCUGGCAUUCUGUAAACUUUUUGUCGAAUUGUUAGUAAACUUUUGAUAGAGCCUAAAUAUCAGUAUUUUUUCCCUUUUUAGAUUUCUUUAGUUUAAUUCAUUGUUCUUCUUUUAGUCAUAUUGUUCUUUUAUUUGAUCAGUGGUUGUCAGUAUUGUCGUUUCUUCAGUCUAUAUUCAGUUUAUGUGUUUUCAGUCUGUAUUCAGUUUAUGUGUUUUCAGUCUAUUAUUCACUUUAUCAUUUCAGUUUUUAAGUCUUCAUUUUAUUUUCUUCAUCAUUCUGAUCCCGUGGAUUGAAUGAGGUUUCAGUGGCGUCAAAUUGCACCAUGAUCAGAUACAUGCUGUGAAAUCAUAUUUUGCAUGGGGGCACCAAGAAGCCUGCGGCGUGGCUCAAGCGGUGUCACUUCCAGUGGCUAUAGCAACCAAAAACCAAAAGCCCUCUAUAUUCUGAUGGCAAAGCUGUCCGAAAAGGUGACCUUAGCAGCACAACUAAACUCCCCCCCCUCCCCCCCCCCUCAGCUCUCAAACUGCAGCCUAAUUUUGCUGUCAGUUCUCUGUGUUUUUGAUUUGGAUCUGAUAUGAUGUAUGUAUCCCACGGGGCAUCACAUAAAUUACCAUUCAAGGUAGGUUCCAGUCUGCAGAUCGCGAGGGACGGUAUGGCUGGAAUACGCUUGGUAACAGGGAGCAUUACCACUGCUGCGUACAAGACCUCUAAGGAAGACCAUCUCGUCAAUAAGCUACGAGAACAAGGGCCAUUAGUUUUUGCAAGUGGAGAUGCAACCAUUGGAAACCAGAACGAUGAUGCUACUUCGGCAAAUGAGACUGGGAACAGGCUCGCUGGAUGUUGGCGCCAAAGAAGCCAAAAGAGAUGGGUCGCCCAACAACUAGCCAAGAGAAGGCGCCGUACGAGGGGCUCAGCAAACGGACAAGCUUCUGCACGAUAUGUUGCCAGCAGGGGCACAAGAGGACAACCUGAUAUCCCCAAGCCAGUUUGUAAACCAGUGCGGCACAAAAACUGCGGCGUUGAAGGUCACAAACGAAACAACUGCCGCAAAGUAGGUGAUCUGCGGCUAAACAACAUGUGAUGAUUUGUGUUGCUAAUGUAUGUGUUUGUAUGUUGUUUUCAGGCGUACUGUCUGUCUUUGUAUACAGAGUGGUGUACAUAUGGUUGUUGAUCUGUCUUGGUGAUUCUGUGAAGUGCAUUUCCCAUUGCCAACAUGGUUUCUGUUGGCUGAAUUUUUUACUGAGACAAUCUGGUUAUCUUUGGCUGCUAGAUGGGCAAUUGUGCUAAAUGCUGGACAAGUGCAUGCCUGUGUGAGGCCGUGCGCCCAGUGCUUGGCCGAUCCAUUUCUAAUUGCACUACAAGAGCAGGGAAAACAGAGGAGCAAUUACAUAAGCGUUCCUCCACCAUGCGUGCCCCAUCUGACCGAUCCAUCCCUUUUCGUUUAGGUAGAAAAGACUGAAUACUACAGGGCAGUUCUUGCCAUGGCUCUGACCGUGCUAUCCCUAUGGGCGUCUGGCAUUACAAAAUCAGAUGCAACUCGCAAGCUGGAUGAAGUAUCCGCAGAGGGUUCAGUUGAGCUGAAAGUUCAGUAAACCAGCCUGUAGGACUACAAGUUGUUACGCUGACUUCAUCUUCGGGAGUGUCUGCUGUCUUUGAGCAGGAGACAUGCCAUGCAACCGCAGAUCUGGAGACAUAAGAGAUGGGCCCGCAGGACGAAGUGCAGAUGCAGGCGCUCCGCGCGGUGGAUGAACGGUGCAGAGAACACGAUCCGGAAAAGCAUGAUUAGCUGCUGUGUGAGCUUGCCGAGCCCCGAGCUUGAAGACGGCGAGCAGUCUACGGCUGGGGCGUGCGGCGACUGGAGAUAGCUGCCGUCGUUGGUCCAGAAUCAGCGAGUUAGCGGCCCAGUCCGUGACGCUGUACCAAUGGCCGUUUGCUAGAAGUGGGCCAAUAUAACUGUUCAUUAAUAGAUAUACGGCAGUAAUACGUGGGCCUGUAUGCGUCAGAAUGGGAAUCUCGAAGAUCACGGGCGGGAGGGAUAUCGCGAGCACCUACGAUCGCGCUCAGAAGAGCACUUUCGCAGCUCUACUAGCUUCUAUGUUUCUGUAAAAAGAAUUACUGGCUGCUAAACAGACUCUGCGCUGAUGAACUUACAAAACUGAAAUUCAGUCGUACACCACGCGAUU